RNAcentral lists this long non-coding RNA (2572 nucleotides) under Homo sapiens (human). Its description in RNAcentral is "non-protein coding lnc-UBAC1-2:1". Lineage: Eukaryota; Metazoa; Chordata; Mammalia; Primates; Hominidae. The record is from RNAcentral.
AUUACUGUUUUUUAAGUGGUAGGGCUCACAGACUGUGUGAAGUCCUGUGUGAAGUGCUGGUGUGGCCACCUACCCAGGUGUCCCUCCCUUUUGUUUUGGAGGCCUGUGUCCUUGUCCAGGGGCAGCCCUCCUUCCCAGGUGUGGCCAGAAGAACCCCCCAUCCCAAGACUUGAAAUGUCUGUUGCUCACCUCUGUCCCUCCAGAACUCGGCUUCCCCAUCUUCACUUGCAAAACAAGUGCAGCCCUGCGCCCAUCAGCACCCCCUCCGGUGUGCACACAGGCCAGUGAGCGGUGGCCGACCAGCGCACCCCACUCCCCCAACCUCCACAACCCAUCAAGCGGAGGCCGCCUCCGCUAGGGGAGGACCAUGUGCUGCACCCUGGCCUGGGGACCUACAGGGUGUGGGUUAGACGCAUUCCCACUGGGCGGCUCCUUUCUGCCCCGAAGCCCACCCCUGUGGCGAGGCCCUAGGAGACCUCCCGUGGGGCCGCCUCUACAGACAGCACUCAGCCUCCUGGGCUGCCUCCAGCCAGGCCCAGCACAUGCCUGCCCUCCAGAAAAAUACGUUGCUUUCCAGAAGGAGGUGGGGGACCAUGGGCAGGCACUGUGGACGCUAACCUCGGCCCCUCCACCCAUUCCUCAGGGCCCACGUCCAGGGGGACCAAGACCUGCAUUCCUAGGGCUGCAGGUGGCUCAGUGGUGCAGAGGCAUCCAGACCUUCUGCUGAACUAAGAACCACCCAGCCUAGAGGGAGCCUUUCUCUGCCUCUUCCUCCCCUGUCUUGGGCACAGGUGGGGUUGGAGCCCCCAUGGGGCCCGCUGGGAACCUGGACCAAGCCUUCCUCGGAGAUGGGAGGAAGCCGCGGGGUGGAGCAGGGGCAGGUAGGUGAGGUUGAGCUGCACUUGAGUUCCCUCUGGAGUUUCCUUCAUCUGCCCCACACCCAAAUUUGCACUUUAAUUUGACCAUCCCUGGGGGCCUGGCUGCUGACAGAAGGGCUCUCUCUGCCCUCCACUCCAAAGUGGGUGCCCCCCCACCCUUGGCCAGGACAGGGAGGGAGCCGCUGGCUGCUGCCGGAGGUGGUGGCUGCACAGAGGACGCCUGACUGCUGUUCAGGCCCGCACAAUGUCCCGUGCCCCUUCCUCACUCGUUUGUAAUCGCCGUCUGUUUUGUUCUGGGUAAGGAAGGCAAGAGCUAUAGAUAAAACUUAAAUAAUAAUAAUUUAAUGUGAAUGGGUUCUGAGCUCUCCCUGCGCCCCGGGCGGGCCAGGCCGAGCAUUUUGCACUAAUGUGUCCCACGGUGGGCGUGAGUCGGGAGUGUCUGUGGACGUGCGUGGCUGCUGAGCGGACCUGCUGUGUGCUCCCUCCACGUCCUGAAUGUACCGUGGGGCGGGGGCGGCGGCCCGGGCUCAGAGGGGCCUUCCAGAGUGCCUUAGCAUCCUUUGAUCAUUUUUCCCAAGGAAACCAAUUAAGAAAGCCGGACCCUUCCCUCCUUUGUUUACAAGAUGACUAAUUCUAGAAUCCGGGGUUGUCCUGUCCUGUGAGUGUGACCCUGACUCAUCCAGACCCUGUAGAGAGAGACGAGCCACUCAGUAUUUAUGAGAUGUCUGCACCUUUAUCCCUAAGCCUGACUAUUAGCAAUACGCAUAUCCUAUAUAGAAUCUAUUACAGAGCUACGUUAUCUCCACACCUUUUGAGGAGGACAGAAGGGACUGGACCGUGUUGGAGCUGCCGCCUGGCAGGUGGUGGGCCUGGGAUCUAGCCGCCUCUCCUGCCCUGCCUUCCUCUUCCCCAAGGGGAUGGGCCCAGGAGGCAGCUGGGUUGCAUGGAGAGGUCCAGGAGGGACCGGAGGUGUGACAGAUACUGUGAGCCCGGCGGGCCGCGCCUGGCUGGGUGCCUCGGUACUUGAAUUCUGUCUUGUUUUCCGCAUUGUGUCUGUCCACCCGAGUUCUCUGUCGUCACUUAACUUUGCAUUGGAUUUGGUUGUUGUACUUUGCCCCUGAAUGUGGACAAAGCUGUGGGCAAGAGGUCAGCAGGACCCGCCUGGGGGUGCCGGCGUUGGUGACUGCGGGUCGGGGCUCCUAGAACAUAGGAGCCGGCUGCCUGGCCUCCUUUCUCCUCCAGGAAGAGUCAUUCUUUGGCAUUUGUGUUUAGAGCCAGGAGGAAGGCGGAAGGUAGGGAGGGAGGGCUGGUCCCCCUCUGAGGGGGCUCUAGUGCCUGACCCUGACCUGUCCUCAUUCGACAGCUGAAACUGUUAAGCGCUGGCCCAGUCCCCCCACCCCACCCAGCCGUGUACUGCCUGGGCUCCCCUCAAAGGGAAAUUUUUAUGGAAACAUCUUGGCAGCAAGUGGAAAAAGAUCUAUGGCCCAUGAACCAACUGAAAACUCCAAGAACCCUCUGUCUGCCUCUGCCAGCAGCGAGUCCUAAGCGCAGAAUCCAGAGCUCGUAGCUGUCCUCAGCUGUAACUACUGUUUCAGAAUGUUGCUGCUGCAUACUUUUGUCAUGUCAGCCAGCCAGCUCCGUGGGUGAGAGUGUGCGUGUGCGCGUGUCUGUGUGUGUGUGCGUGUCUGUGUGUG